RNAcentral lists this ribosomal RNA (1110 nucleotides) under Triticum aestivum (bread wheat). RNAcentral describes it as "partial small subunit ribosomal RNA". Lineage: Eukaryota; Viridiplantae; Streptophyta; Magnoliopsida; Poales; Poaceae. The record is from RNAcentral.
AUGGAUUCCAAGAAGGGUAGGUCCAAGAUGCAGAUGGAUACGGGGGCUACAACUACAAGCAAGGAUACGGCAGCUGGGAAAAGACGAAGCAAAAAAAAGGUACCUGUGAUGGCAAAGAAGGCAGCGAAACCGAGCGUGAGGAAGAUAGACAGCACGGCGAAGGAAACGCGUCGCCGGGCGCCAGUAUACAAGCUGACAAUUCCUGUCGGCGAUGAAAAUCGCGACGAGUUCAACGAACUGUGGAUGGGAAUAUGGGGCGAUCUCAUCGUUUCCAUGGACCGAAAAACGACUAUACCCAGCGUGGGCUUCACGGACCUUGUUUCCCCCAGGGCCAGCAUCUGCACCGUCGACACUGUACAGCUCUUUGAAGUCAGAAUCCCAACAAAAGAGGCCUCAGGCUUAGUGUGGCCGCUGCAUGUGUAUGGUUUUAUCGCCACGCGUGAUUCGGUGGACUACAAGCGCAAUAUCAUCUUUGAGCGUGGAAAAGAUAACUGCCAGAUCGUCAGUGAGGGGUCUCCAUACCUAGCACUGACUGGGCCUGCACGUGCUGCUGUGCUGGUUGAUCCUGUCUACUUUGAGGUUGACCUCAAGGUGAGUGGAGCUGGGCAAUCCGAGGAUCAAGAGCUAAUCUACGUAGCCUCUCCGUUCAGGAAUACCCAGCCGCCUGAUUCAUCCCUGUUUACGUCUGUCUACACCAACAAGAUCAGCGCACUCGACUUGACAUUUGGCCACAUUGUUGGGUCAGUAGAGGCCUCAGUCAGUAUGAAAGUCGUCCAUGGGCCGUGGCCAGAUGGUUUCCGAGGCUCUUUUGCUGCAAGAACUGCCAGCAUAAAUGACAUGACAGUUUGGUUGCUUGAGAUCGGUGAUGAUAAUGGGUUGCCUCUUGCUGAUGAUGGCACCAUCAAGCUUCAACGCCAUGUUGUUUGUGCUGAACUUCAAAAACGAGAGUAUCUGGAAGUUUCUGUCAGCGCUUAUGGCGUCGGUGGGCAACGAUUUGAUGACGGUCUGCAUUUUACGCCUCAGGAACGCGGUAAACUUGAAGGUACAGUUAAUGUUGAUUCAUGUGAGAUUGAGGUCACUGUGACCUGGUCCCUAAUCAAAUUUUGCUAG